RNAcentral lists this ribosomal RNA (109 nucleotides) under archaeon BMS3Abin17. The record is from RNAcentral.
GACGGCCAUAGUAGUUAGGAAACACCUGUUCCCAUUCCGAACACAGAUAGUUAAGCUAAUUACGUCGUUUGUAUUAGUGCCCUACAAGGUGCGAAGCAUCGAUGCUGUC